Molecule: non-coding RNA, 95 nt
Filed under: Clostridiales bacterium
Lineage: Bacteria; Bacillati; Bacillota; Clostridia; Eubacteriales
Description: c-di-GMP sequence
Rfam family: c-di-GMP-I riboswitch aptamer
About the family: GEMM was predicted in a large-scale screen for bacterial structured RNA regulatory elements. Genes associated with GEMM are involved in a diverse array of functions, including chemotaxis regulation, signal transduction, secretion and chitin.
Source: RNAcentral
UUGAAGACCGGGCAUAGCUGUCGAAAGGCAGUGUCGCAAAGCUAUAGGGGUUUCGCCUUUCCGCAGUGCGGAAGGAAAGCCAGCCAGUUGUAUAU